RNAcentral lists this non-coding RNA (101 nucleotides) under Yersinia aleksiciae. RNAcentral describes it as "Yersinia sRNA 224". It matches the Rfam family "Yersinia sRNA 224". The record is from RNAcentral. Lineage: Bacteria; Pseudomonadati; Pseudomonadota; Gammaproteobacteria; Enterobacterales; Yersiniaceae.
AUGGACAAACCGUUGGCAGCGGUGAGAACAAACAGAUCGUAAAGACGCGGUCAAUCCUUCCCAGGAGGCUCGAACCGCGUCAUCCCUGGCGCGGACGCUUU